This 285-nucleotide unclassified non-coding RNA is filed under the name plant metagenome. Its description in RNAcentral is "partial contains small subunit ribosomal RNA, internal transcribed spacer 1, and 5.8S ribosomal RNA". The stretch from base 1 to 54 matches the Rfam family "Eukaryotic small subunit ribosomal RNA", at positions 1778 to 1831 of the family's 1831-position model. The record is from RNAcentral.
GGAAGUAAAAGUCGUAACAAGAUUUCCGUAGGUGAACCUGCGGAAGGAUCAUUAUCGAGUUUUGGCUGGGUUGUAGCUGGCCUUCCGAGGCAUGUGCACGCCCUGCUCAUCCACUCUACACCUGUGCACUUACUGUGGGUAUCAGAUCGUGAAGCGUGCUCUUUUACCGGAGCUUGUGAAGCGUGUCUGUGCCUGCGUUUAUCACAAACACUAUAAAGUAUCAGAAUGUGUAUUACGAUGUAACGCAUCUAUAUACAACUUUCAGCAACGGAUCUCUUGGCUCUC